Long non-coding RNA from Photinus pyralis (common eastern firefly), 267 nucleotides. RefSeq lists it as uncharacterized. Lineage: Eukaryota; Metazoa; Arthropoda; Insecta; Coleoptera; Lampyridae. The record is from RefSeq and is a predicted model, not a curated record. The transcript has 3 exons.
GUUUAUAAAAUUGUCGAUGUAGUUGGGCAGUAUACCGUUUAUCAAUCGCUCGUUAUUGUAUAGUGGGCAAUGGCUUAUAAUAUGAGUAACCGUGAUGGCCGUAUUGCAGUGAUUACAUUGUCUUGACGGUGCAUUUUCACGUUGUCCUCUCUCGAAGCAUCUUGUAGCGUGUAUAGUGUCGUUGGAAUAGGUUUUAUCUGCGACAGGUGCCUUCUGAUGUCACUUGCCACCAUGAAAUUUACAUCUGUCUGCUGGUUCGAUAUCGCU